RNAcentral lists this long non-coding RNA (11813 nucleotides) under Marmota monax (woodchuck). The record is from RNAcentral. Lineage: Eukaryota; Metazoa; Chordata; Mammalia; Rodentia; Sciuridae.
GGGGGAAAGGGUUCCUUCCCGUCCUAGGCCGACUUAUCUGUCCUUGAGUGCACACCACCACAGGAACCAAGCAAUUCAGACUUGGGGAUGGCACCGGAGGAUCUCAGAAAUGACUGUCUCCCGAGCUAGCAAGUGAAUCAAGUCCGACAGAACGUGUGGAAUGUGGCUCUGAACCGCCUCCUUAGGAGCCCUGCUCCCUUGAUGGGCAGAACCACAGCCUGGGAAAGCAGUCCUCUGUGCCUCUCCUUUGCGAGCAAAGCCAUAAACCUCUUUUUCCUUUUUCUCAAAACCGUGUCCUUACCGUAUUGGCAUCAGGAGCCAGGACCAAACUUUUGAUGAAGCUCCAUUCCAGAUGACACGACUCACACUGUGCUUUGUGUCUGCCCCUUUGCUGAAACGCUGGAGUGGGAGAUCCUUGCCACCGACACCCUGGCCCCCUCCCAGCCAGGUGGGCAGCUGCCCUUUGUCUAGGUGUCCAGUCUCCCCUGGUCUUUAUCGGAAAGGCCAGGAAGACCAGGUGGAGCCAGAGGAAGCGCCAGAAGAAACUGGGUGGGAAAUCCUUGCACAACAAAACAGGUUUCACCACAAAACCCAGUGGCCACGUGGCGCCGAACCCCCUGCGUGCAGGGAGACCCCCGUCUGGAGACGCUUCCCUGCACUUCUGUGAGUAUGAGUCCCUCAAGACCCACAUGCUGAAUCCUGAACAUGUGGUCCUGAAGUGGACCUGGUGGGCGGUGCGCGUGACCUGGCCGAACACAGAGCUGGACAGAACACAGGGCAACCGCUCAGCUAAAAUGAGACUGUUGGCGUGGGCUCAGCAGUCCUGCUGGCGUCCUCUCCCAGGGGCAUCUGGACACAGGGACACAGCCGCCUCCAUCCUGGACUGCAGCACAAGAAGGCAGGGCUCUGCUCUCCACGCAACCAGGUCCAGAGUGCCGUGCCCUCAGCUCCAGCGUGCUGACACUGCGUCCCUCUCCCACCCACACUGACCAUGGCUUCCCUGACCUGGAUAGGCUGGACUGGGUGCUGCAGGUGGGGGAGCCUAGAGAUCUAUCAGCAAGGAGGACAUGAGCAGCGGCCAGCACGUGGGCCUGGGUUCAGGAGGCAGGCGUGGCCUGGCCACCUGUCCACUGGCUCAGCUGGAGCCAGCCUCCACCCUGCCUCUCUGCACCACAUCUCCAGCACAAUCUGCACCCCACAUCCAGGGUGUGUCAGGGUCCAAAGAGCAGGACUGCAGGACAGGGGCUGGGGGACCUGGGGCGGGAUCCACGGCCACGGCUCUCUGCCCAGAAUCCAAGGGCUUGCCUCUAAACUGCCCUAGAGAGCCGUGGGGUGGACACAGUGGUGGUCAGCUGGCAGGGGUCAUAUCCACUAGAGAGCCAUGGGGUGGACACUGUGGUGGCCAGCCCACAGGUCAGAACCACCUAGAGAGCCAUGGGAUGGACGCGGUGGUGGCCAGCCGGCAGGGGUCAGAUCCACCUAGAGAGCCGUGGGGUGGAUGCAGUGGUGGCCAGCCCGCAGGGGUCAGAUCCACCUAGAGAGCCGUGGGGUGGACGCGGUGGUGGCCAGCCGGCAGGGGUCAGAUCCACCUAGAGGGCUGUGGGGUGGACGUAGUGGUGGCCAGCUGGCAGGGGUCAUAUCCACUAGAGAGCCAUGGGGUGGACACAGUGGUGGCCAGCCCACAGGUCAGAACCACCUAGAGAGCCAUGGGAUGGACGCGGUGGUGGCCAGCCCAAAGGGGUCAGAUCCACCUAGAGAGCCGUGGGGUGGACGCGGUGGUGGCCAGCCCAAAGGGGUCAGAUCCACCUAGAGAGCCGUGGGGUGGACGCCGUGGUGGCCAGCCGGCAGGGGUCAGAUCCACCUAGAGAGCCGUGGGGUGGACGCCGUGAUGGCCAGCCGGCAGGGGUCAGAUCCACCUAGAGAGCCGUGGGGUGGACGCCGUGAUGGCCAGCCGGCAGGGGUCAGAUCCAACUAGAGAGCCGUGGGGUGGACGUAGUGGUGGCCAGCCGGCAGGGGUCAUGUCCACUAGAGAGCCGUGGGGUGGACGCCGUGGUGGCCAGCCGGCAGGGGUCAUGUCCACUAGAGAGCCGUGGGGUGGACGCCGUGGUGGCCAGCCGGCAGGUAUGAAGGAGGGAGGCAAGUCUGGUGAGCAAGCCUCAGCACCUGCUUCUCUGAGCUGGAGGUGGCUAUGAUUCACAGAUGGCCGCCCAGCCUGGCCCUGGGGACAGUGCAGCAGGAAGUCUCCUGUGCCAGGUUGGGAGGGAAACAGGCUCUGGCUGUUGCUCAACAGUGCCCACCUGGGCUGCCACAGAGGACAGUGGCUCUGACGCGGCCACAAGGACACUGCUGUUCCUAGGUAGUGGCCCCCUCCUGUUGGGACUAGUGCAGAGGGCAGAGGAAGGAGCCGCACACUGGGGCCUGGCUCUGGGCGGCUGGCUAUGUCUCACAGGACUCUCACAGGCUGACUCCCCCUUGUCCACAGGGGAAUGCCACCUAUCUGGGGAGUGGUCGUCCAACCAUGCAAGAGCCCUGGGGUGUCUGCUCAGGAACAGCCAGGUUUGACGCCUGCAUGAGGCUGGGGCCCAUCUGAGAGCCAAGGGAAGCCUGUGUGGGCCCGGCAAAGCCACCAAGUGCCUCUGCUAUGCCACCUGUCCAUUCUGGUCCCUGGGCUGGACUCAAAUGCCUGCACUUGCUUCCCAGGGUCACCUAACAGUGACUCUGUUGAUGAAUGACAAACAUUCAAACAACCACCAUCAAAGACUCCUCUGGACGCAGACCUCUGGAAGUCUCCUGAGCUACAAUAGUGGAUUUAAAGGUGCGACUUUGUGGGCCUGGGGCCUGGGGCCCAAGGGAACUCAGGGCCAGUGGGGCCCCUCCUAAGUGGCCCCAAAGGAUGACGGUGGUUUGCAGAUCCUCUUGAUGUGAAGAGCCUCCAUCUGGAGUGGCCCAUGCCUUCUGCUCUGCUGGGUCCCAGUGACUGGGGCUCCCCUUGGAAUGUGGCCGUGCUUGGAGGCAGGACCGGUGCAGGCGCGACUGCUCAGGUAAGAUGAGAUGCUGGAGCAGGGAGCCCCGUGGCGACCCGGAACACCUGAUGGAGGCGACCUCUGCGGAUUUCCUCACUGUGUGCAGAAGAGAGGAGGUGGGAGGUGGGGGCUGAGCCCAGCUACCUGCAGGGCAGCCAGGCAGAUGUGACAGGACCGUCAUGCUGAGUCACUGCCCGCCCAGGUUGAGACAGGGAUCAGGAUGGGAAGAGGAAUACGGAACCUCAAGCCACUGAAGUGCAGAAUCAAGCCAGAGAUGCAGGAAGCGCACUUGUCGACGUGGCCCCACUGGGCCCCACCUGGGCCCAUGCCCUUGUAAGGGGAGGGAGAUGGCAAGUGCAGGGAAAGGGGGCGUGGAGCUGUGCGUCCUCCCCGGCUCCCCUGGACGUCCUCCUACAAGUAUCGGACACCAGAACUCCUGAGUGGUUAGACACGAUUCUUUAGAAGCCAGUGGUGGGGCCGACUCUGGCAUUAUGCACUGUCCCUGUUGGGGCUGACUGCUCCCGAGGUUCACGGUGAACCAGGACCGCAGGAUGUGGCUGUAUUUGGAGAUGGUCCUCAAUCAGCAACAAAGGUACCAUGAGGUUGCUUGGGCUGGCCCUGACACCAUCUGAACUGUCCUCGAGAAAAGGGACAUUGGACAAGAGACACAUGCACAUGCAGCGUGGCCCUCAGCCCUGCCCUUCGGGACCCUGUCUGGCCUCCUCCAGGACAGAGGACACACUCCUGGGGUUUGAGCCACCCCUGGGUGGGACCUGGUUCCUGCCAAGCUGCACAGUCCCCACCUGGACUAUUCUGGUCACCAUGGCCACAUCACGCAUGACCGCUGUGGCCUGAAAGCUCUGGGGGACCUUUCCACAGACCCAGGGAGAAGAACAUGGCAGUUCUUCAGAACGGCCAGCCCAGCAGGGACUGUCAGGUCCCUCCCGUCCGGGAUGCAGCCAGACCAAAGGCACACAGGGUCACUUCCUACUGGGACAGAGGGAAUCGACACCUGGUCGCCAGCCACACAAGUGCCCUGGUGCCGGGCGCAGGUCCCUAGGAUGCUGCCGGGCCUGGGGGUGGGGGCGGAGGGGGUGCAGAGCCGGGGGCUGCUCCCUGGGUGGUGCCCUCUUGGUGCCUGCAUUGGCCUGGCCCCAGAAGCUGGUCACACAGUGUCUGUGUGUGACAAGCCCAUGAGAGCUCUGACAAGAGAGCCCUGGCUUAGGGUGGACAUCCCCUGCAGGACGUCGAGAUCAAAGGUGCAUUUCUCCUAACACUUGCUCCUGUUGGCACCAGUGCCGAGUGCCGUCCCGAGCCAGGAACAGAGCUCAGCCGGGCCACUGGCUGGCUCCGGACAGGGCAGAGCCAGCAAACCUGCCCUGGCUCUGGGUCCACACUUCCCAGGAGCCGCUGCUUCAGGCCUCUGACCUUCCAGGACAUGCCCGACCUCGGCUCCCAGGCCUGCGUGGGUGUCACGUUGGGACGCUGGUCUCUGAGGUCCAGUUCAGGCUGAGGCUGGGCCUGGCCCAAGCUCCUCCAUCCGGGGCCCACUGGCACUUUUCCCCCAUGCCUUGGGGGCAUGGGUGGCACACUGUGGGACCAGCCAGGUGGAGGUGAGCCGGAGCCCUGAGCCCCAAGCCCCCCUAACCAAUGGCUAGAAGGUGGUGCCUCCAGUCCUGUCCAGCCGACUCCCACUGCUGCCCUGUGGGUGGACAAGGAGCUGACCUCCUAGGCAGCCAUCUGGGUCUUAGCUGACCUGUUACCUGAGUUAGUCAGGUGUCCUGGAGGCACCCCCCUGCCUCAGGAAGACGCGCCUUCGGGGUGCAGACUAGGCCGACGAGGCCUCGCACUGACAAGGGGGACACUACCUGAGGUCCAGCCCACGGGGAGAGCUGGUCCCAGGGCACUAAGAUGCUCAAGCAGCGCCGCAGGGGCUGGGCACAGGGUCUGCUGCAGGAAGUGCUCGGUGGACAGCGGCCAGCGUCAGAGGGCCUGGCCCUGGUGCCUCUGAGGCAGCUCGGGUGCGUGUGUGCGGCCUGAUCCACAUCUGCCAGUGGCCUCUGUUUGCAAGGCUGGAUGCGGCUCAGUGGUAUUGUCUGAGUUGGAGCCAGUGAACUAGCCAGCUGGGGCUGCGACCCCUGUCCUGCUGUCACCACGGCCGCCUGGCCACUGAGGCCUCUGGGUCCUCCGGGAGUCUUUGGUGAGGAGCAGAGGAGGCGAGGGGACGACUAACCUAACAAAGGCCCCAGAGCACAGCCUGCACCUCCUCUCCACAGCCGCCCACCCACUGCCCCCUGGUGCUGAGACCCACAGACGCCCGGCCCCUGGCUGUGCGGCCUCCGGCCUCCGACAGGCGGGCUCUCAGCCUCAGAACAAGGCCCGUCCUGUCUGCGCGAGUGCCGCACAGCAGACGCUGCCAGGGAGAGUCAAGUGCUCCUGUUUGGGGUUUCCUUUCCUUUCAUUUGAGCUCGGGCGUGACGUCAGGUUACGACAGAGGGAAAGCGUCUGUCAAGCUGGGGCCUGACGAGUGCCCGACCCCACCCCGCCUGCUGCGCCUGCUGCGCCUGCUGCGCCUGCGUUUUCAUGUACUGAGGUUCACGACUAGGAAAUGAUAUUGUCUCCACGUGCAAGCACAUGAGUUUAUCAGCACACACGUGCACACAGGUGUACAAACACAUGCGAACACAAAGUUAUCCACAGGCAUACCCAUAUGUAUACGCAUACACAUGCGUACGCGUAUCACACAAGCACACGCAUACGCAUACGCAUACAGGUGCACAUGCUCACACACCCAUGUGUUUACACAGUAUGCGUGUACACACGCAUGCACAUGUGGACACACAGGGUGCGACAACCCACUGCCCUUUUAAUCCCACAACGACAGUAAUGAGGCUUCAGUGAUGCACAUCUGACAGGGGAGGCUGCACCUUUCCCAGGCACUGCCAGCCAGGCAAGGUCGAGGUCUGCAUCUGGGCCACUGGCCUGGGCACAGCCCAGCACCUUCUCUGCACCCAGAGCCACCCAGCCUCCGCUGUGUGUGGGGACACUGGAGAAGUAAAUGGUGACUGGGAUCCAAACUGAGACACAGCACCAGAGGUCAGGGGUAGAACAGUGAACCGUGUUCACGUAAAUCACAUGACUACAAGCCAACGCCUCGGCAGACAGACAGGAAAGCCACGCAUCUGUGCCCACGUGGGCAAAGAUGGAGGAGAAGCCCAUGAGCAGAGGGCUGAGAGGUGCCCAGGGCCCGGGGUGCUCGUGUCUGUGGAGGCAAGACCAGGACAGAGCACCAUGCCCCCGAGCCAUAGCUGGUCAGCAAGGGCCAUGACGUGGGAAAGGCAGAUGGGCGCCCAAGGAAGGGGUUCAGCUGCACCCUGGAAAACCCUGCUAAAUGGGUUCAGUGCACAACUUGCCUCGCCAACCAGAUGCACCCUGCGGUGGAUCCAGGCCCAGCCACUCAGCCGAGCUAGGACCUGCAGGCAGUCCCAGGCCCGGGGUGGGUUUUCCUGUCUUAGCCUGUUCCCUGAUGGGACAUCUUGAGGGAACUUAAGCUGUGAGGCUGGAUCUUUUUGAAGAAAAAAUACUUUUAGUUGUAGAGGCACACAGUACCUCUAUUUUGUUUAUUAUAUGUGUUGCUGAAGAGUGAACCCAGUUCCUCACACAUGCUAGGCAAGUGCCCCUCCCCAGCCCCCGCCCCAGCCCGUGAUGCUGGAUCUUUGCAGGCCAUGUCUGCAGGACGGAGGCAGGAAGGGGUCCUGCCUCCAGGAAGCCAGCCUGCGAAUUUCCAGAGAAGGGCUGUCACAUUCUGUGCUCUCCCUGGUUUAACUUAGUCACUUAAACAACUGGCUCGUUUUUCAAGGGAAGAAACUAUGGCGCACAGAGAAAGUCUGAAGAAAGACUUCAUUUCCAGGCAAGAACUGCCUAGCCAAAGAGCCCCAAGUCCUGGAGAUGAAGGGUGAACAUGUCCAUUCAUCUACCCAACCACUUAUGCAUCCAUUCAUCCACCAGUCUACACAUCCACCCACCCAUCCCUCUGUCCACCCACUGAUGUGUUCAUCCGUCCACCCAUCCAUCCAUCCGUGGGUGAAGUGGGAAGGACUGUAGUUCACAAUCUGUAAGAACUGUGUGUCUAAGCUAGAGGAAGUCGGAGCUUCCAUUUUUUUAGGCCAAGAUGGGUUUUAUUUGCAUUAUCAAGUUUUUCUACGGUGUUUUCGGUUGCCUCUACACUGCUGGUGCCCCAAGUGUGCCCCGGUGCCUGCUGGGCCUCCCGGCACAGGCCAUGAUGCCCGGGGCGUCUGGGAAGGCCCAUGAGCCUCAGCUGGAGGCUGGGGCCCUGCUGCCGAGGCCCCCCUGAGAGCUCUGGGAGUGGACUACUGCAUUCCAUGAGAGCUUCAGCUGGACAUUUGGUGCCAAGGUUGAGGAAACCCUGUGCUUCUCCUUCAUACACAAAUCUGUCGUGAGCCUCAGGACGCCCCUCAUGUUGGACAAACUCAGAAAAGCACCUGGAGAGAAGGAGAGGCGCUGCUCAGGUCUCCAGGCCAGCUGCUGGGCGUCAGCUGCUGGGCUGUCCUGCAGAGCCGGGGCCUCCCACGCGCUCAGCCCCGGGCCACGGCGCUGGGUUCAUCGGAACGUCCCAGGUGAGCUCUCCUGAGCCCCUACAGGCUGCACCUGACUCCGUGCCAGGAGUCGGGAAGCUAGUGCCACCUGGCUCUAAGACACCAUGCAUGUCCUCGAGCUGGGGACUUCUUGAAGGCGGAUGCCAUGCUGCCUUGCUGGGUGGAGUGUGGAGGCCCUGUUCCCUUCCUGUACCACGGUGGCGGCUCCUCACAGCAUGUCUCUGGGGACCAGGCACCUUGGGAGAAACCCUUCCCCAGCUGGGAGACUGAGGGAGGAGUCGGGCAGUGUGACUGACCACCUGGACAUGGUGGGGUUCAGGCUGCCAUCUGCCAUGUGGUCUCCCUGAAACGGGCCUGGGUGUGAUCUGGACAGUGCUCUUGGGGCGUCUGGGGGGACUAGUGCUUCUAACAAGAGGAGGGGAGUGAGCCCGCAGCUUCAGAUGGACAGAGGAGCUGCUGCAGGCUUCCAGGAGCCAGCAGGGGACAGGGAGUGUGGGCAGCGGUGUCGGCCGGCCUUGCCCAGGGCACACCUGUCCUUCUAACACAGUGGCAACAGAGAACUCAGUUCAGAUGUGAGCAGCCAAGCUGGUGCUAGCCCCUUACCAGGGUCCGUCGUGUACGGUGCCUACGUCUUAAUUCUGGAAGCAGGGAGACUACAGACAGAUACUUCCAGAGCCUUCCAAUUUGUCCACUUUCCUGUCUCUCCUUCACACCCUCCCUGCCCGCACCCAUCCUCUAGAUCCUGGUAAAUUCCUGGCCACCCCAUCGGCAGGAGCAGGAACUCUGGAAGGCCGUGUGAGAGUGCCCUCUAGUGGCUGCACAGGCCAGCAGCAGGCAGCGAGGUGCAGGUCCAGGGAGGAGGAGAGGGUCCCCAGGAGGAAGAAAGAGCUGCCCAGGGGGCGCCCAGCGGGGCCAGGUGCACAGUGUGGGGCACGUGCUCCUGGCUGCGUCUUCCUCUGGGAGACGCCGCUCACUUCCAUCCGCACUCCUCCUGUCCUCUCAGGGCCUCCUUCUUCCUCAGCUAGGCUCCACGAAGACGGGAGGGUGGGUGACAGGUGAGUCCCCUGAGGGUCCGGUUUGGCCCCCACCACUGCGAAAAAGCACCUGCCCUUCUGCGUCUUCCGCCCAUCUCUGGGGUGGCGGAUGGGUCUGGCCGGGGGGCGUGGGCACAUGGUCCCUCCUCCGGGCCAUGCUUCUGGAAAUUGGGUCCCGUGUCAAGAAGACAAAUUCACAUAGUGACCCAGGACAUAGUUCGUCACCAAGAGGGGUGUGAGGUCUGAAUGCUGCGUUCCCUAUGCUGGGACAAACUGUCCCUUUCUUGAACAAGGGCAGCUGAGGCUGAGGUAUCACAAAUAAUUCCUAGGGGCCAAGGACCUGCAGAGACCUUUUCCAAAAGGACAGGAAGGGUGGCAACAGCAGCAGCACCCUGGGCCUCCCCUGGAGGGCAUCACACAGGCAGGGCUGCAGAGGGGACCCUGUCCCUUGGGGAGGGUUGCCAGAGAGAGGCUGCAGGGUGACAGAGACUUCUCCCCACACUCCAGGGACUGGUGCUCCCUGGAGCAAAGGGCCAGCUGCCCACGCACAGGUCAGCAAGCCCCGGAGAGGGACCUGUCAGCACAGGCGUGUGCUAGAGCCACCCCAGGAGCCCAGGAGGGCAGUGGCCAGCCUGAAGGUGCUCGGGGCUCACAGACUGGCUUCUCGGAGGACGGUGCUCUGAACAGCCAGUCACUGCCCGGUGGGCCCUGCAGGGAUCCUGACCCCCACAGGCAGCCGUGGAAGACGCGGUGCUGUCCCUGGGACAUGUCCUUCCCAUCUUGGUGUGCCCCGCCUGCGUGUCUGAUGUCUGUGUCGGCCCCGGCACUCCUGCCCACCACAGAAGGGCUGGGGGAGACAGGGAGGUCCAGAAACCACACUUCCCGUGUGCCCUUCCAGAAUACCAACGUCCCAGGGCCAGCUCUGCCGGCCACCGGGGUAAAGGGGAGGGGACACAAUUCAAGUGCACAGGAAUAUAGCAUUCCACUCUGACAACCAGUAGUGACCUGAAGGAGGCAUGUCACAAAAACUGGAGUCUCCAGGACUCAGGGAAGGCACCUUGCAGGCUGCCAAGGGCCCACUCCAGUGGACCUGUGCCAUGGCUGAGGCAGCCUAUCCUCCUGGGGUCCCCAAGUGCAGCUAGAAAGGUCCGUUCCCCAGAGGCCCUGGGUGGCCUGCGGUCAACAGAACCCUGAGUGCUGGGAGUCCCCCAGUGACCCCUGCACUGCUGAGAGGCCUCCUGCCUGGGCCUCUGUGACCAGUGUGACCGACAUGCACCGGUUUCCUCCCCCCCACUUCAAAUGCCUGCUGAUGGGGAGGAAGAUCCCAGCAAAUGGCAGGAAACCCUGGACUCCAACACAAGCACACACACCAACACACACGCACACGACUCACAACAACCUCGAAUCCCAGCACAUGCAUUAACACACAGGCACACGCAACAUACACUCAAUACACAAGCACACACAACAUACACUUAAUACACAAGCACACACAACAUGCAAUACCUAACACACCAACACACAAGCACACACAACACACAAACACUCAAUACACAAGCACACACAACACACAAUACACAAGCACACACAAUACAACAUACACUCAAUACCCAAGCACACACAACAUGCAAUGCCUAACACACCAACACACAAGCACACACAACACACAAACAAUACACAAGCACACACAACACAACAUACACUCAAUACCCAAGCACACACAACAUGCAAUGCCUAAUACACCAACACACAACACACAAACACUCAAUACACAAGCACACACAAACACACUCAAUACACAAGCACACACAACAUGCAAAUGCCUAACACACUGACAUACAAGCACACACAACACAAAACUAUCUCAAAUUCAAGCACAUGCAUUAACAUGCAAAGACACACAAGCACACACAACACACAAACACACUCAACCCACAAGCAUGCACAACACACAGAUGCCUAAACAGACAUUGACACAAGCACACAUAACACAGAAACCACAUACAUCAACGUGCAAGCACACAGCCCACAAACCAACUCAACAGGCAAGCAUACGCAUCAAUAUGCAGACACACGUCAACACACAAGAACACACCCCAACACGCAAGCACACACAUCAACACACAAGAACACACAACAAACAACCUCAACAUGCAAGCACAUGCAUUAACACACAAGUAUACACAGCACGCAAGCACACACAACUCACACACACACCACACACAAGCACACACAACACACAAAUACAUAAACACACAUCAAUACACAAGCACACACACACCAACACAUUAACACAGACACACACAUCAACAAAUAAACACAGAUGAACACACAGCACACACAUGGACACAGGAGUGACAGCAUACACCCUACUUCACAAGCACGUGACAUGAGCACACCCACACUGUCCUGCAGGUACCACCUUUUCUUUUUAAAGUCACACGUAUUUUAUUCAGCCUCACGCAGUGUCUUCUGAUUUAUGAUAAUUGUCCAUAAAAGCAAAAACACAGAGGAUUCUAACCCCGCAGUUUCUAGGCGUUAAUGGGCAUAAAAUUAUGCCGUAGUUUUUUCUGAAAAAAAGGGAGGGGAGUCCAAAGCACGUCCUCGUGUUGACCUCGGAGGGCACUGGACGGAGAGGCCGCCGAGAGCCUAACGUGACAGCCGCCCUGAAGCCGCGUGUGCCAGGAGCAGACCUGGGCAGUGGGCACCCCCGCGGGAUCCCGGUGAGCGCUGCCCGGAGGACUACGAGGGAGACUCAUUUCCAUAUCAAACCCGAUUUAGAUGAAACGUCUUGGUUAGGGAAAAAAAAAGCCAGUGUGCAUCAAUAGCCCCUUGAUUAGAUUUUCAUCUCCUGAGCAGACAAAUAUGAAUAUUUAUUACCAUGAAUGAGAUCUUUCCCUUUCCAUUGCUCUGAUCUUGAAUAUUAUCUAUUGCUAAUUUUUAUGAAAAUUUGGGCAACAUAAUGUUUUCACAUAAACUGACAGUUCUUGAGAUAAUCCCGUUAUUGUCUGGUUGGAAAUGACAGCUUCCGCUCAUUCAUGUGUUAACGAGGGAUUAAAUAUUGUUUUUCAUUCCCAUAAUCUAAGAUGGACUGGAAAUUAAAAAUCGAACAUUGUGUAUUAGCUGGGCUUUGAGGACCA